CGGCGUGCUUAACACAUGCAAGUCGAACGGAAAGGCCCUGCUUUUGUGGGGUGCUCGAGUGGCGAACGGGUGAGUAACACGUGAGUAACCUGCCCUUGACUUUGGGAUAACUUCAGGAAACUGGGGCUAAUACCGGAUAGGAGCUCCUGCUGCAUGGUGGGGGUUGGAAAGUUUCGGCGGUUGGGGAUGGACUCGCGGCUUAUCAGCUUGUUGGUGGGGUAGUGGCUUACCAAGGCUUUGACGGGUAGCCGGCCUGAGAGGGUGACCGGCCACAUUGGGACUGAGAUACGGCCCAGACUCCUACGGGGGGCAGCAGUGGGGAAUAUUGCACAAUGGGCGGAAGCCUGAUGCAGCAACGCCGCGUGCGGGAUGACGGCCUUCGGGUUGUAAACCGCUUUCGCCUGUGACGAAGCGUGAGUGACGGUAAUGGGUAAAGAAGCACCGGCUAACUACGUGCCAGCAGCCGCGGUGAUACGUAGGGUGCGAGCGUUGUCCGGAUUUAUUGGGCGUAAAGGGCUCGUAGGUGGUUGAUCGCGUCGGAAGUGUAAUCUUGGGGCUUAACCCUGAGCGUGCUUUCGAUACGGGUUGACUUGAGGAAGGUAGGGGAGAAUGGAAUUCCUGGUGGAGCGGUGGAAUGCGCAGAUAUCAGGAGGAACACCAGUGGCGAAGGCGGUUCUCUGGGCCUUUCCUGACGCUGAGGAGCGAAAGCGUGGGGAGCGAACAGGCUUAGAUACCCUGGUAGUCCACGCUGUAAACGGUGGGUACUAGGUGUGGGGUCCAUUCCACGGGUUCCGUGCCGUAGCUAACGCUUUAAGUACCCCGCCUGGGGAGUACGGCCGCAAGGCUAAAACUCAAAGGAAUUGACGGGGCCCCGCACAAGCGGCGGAGCAUGCGGAUUAAUUCGAUGCAACGCGUAGAACCUUACCUGGGUUUGACAUGGAUCGGGAGUGCUCAGAGAUGGGUGUGCCUCUUUUGGGGUCGGUUCACAGGUGGUGCAUGGCUGUCGUCAGCUCGUGUCGUGAGAUGUUGGGUUAAGUCCCGCAACGAGCGCAACCCUUGUUCACUGUUGCCAGCACGUUAUGGUGGGGACUCAGUGGAGACCGCCGGGGUCAACUCGGAGGAAGGUGGGGAUGACGUCAAGUCAUCAUGCCCCUUAUGUCCAGGGCUUCACGCAUGCUACAAUGGCUGGUACAGAGAGUGGCGAGCCUGUGAGGGUGAGCGAAUCUCGGAAAGCCGGUCUCAGUUCGGAUUGGGGUCUGCAACUCGACCUCAUGAAGUCGGAGUCGCUAGUAAUCGCAGAUCAGCAACGCUGCGGUGAAUACGUUCCCGGGGCUUGUACACACCGCCCGUCAAGUCAUGAAAGUUGGUAACACCCGAAGCCGGUGGCCUAACCGUUGUGGGGGAGCCGUCGAAGGUGGGACUGGUGAUUAGGACUAAGUC
This 1440-nucleotide ribosomal RNA is filed under the name uncultured organism. RNAcentral describes it as "16S ribosomal RNA". It matches the Rfam family "Bacterial small subunit ribosomal RNA". The record is from RNAcentral.